RNAcentral lists this ribosomal RNA (253 nucleotides) under uncultured bacterium. Its description in RNAcentral is "partial 16S ribosomal RNA". It matches the Rfam family "Bacterial small subunit ribosomal RNA", at positions 524 to 776 of the family's 1533-position model. The record is from RNAcentral.
UACAGAGGUCUCAACCGUUGUUCGGAAUUACUGGGCGUAAAGCGAGUGUAGGCGGUCUGCUAAGUCGGGUGUGAAAGCCCCGGGCUCAACCCGGGAAGUGCACUCGAAACUGGCAGGCUAGAGUAUCGGAGAGGUUGGUGGAAUUCUCGGUGUAGAGGUGAAAUUCGUAGAUAUCGAGAGGAACACCGGUGGCGAAGGCGGCCAACUGGACGAAUACUGACGCUGAGACUCGAAAGCGUGGGGAGCAAACAGG